This 590-nucleotide ribosomal RNA is filed under the name uncultured Burkholderia sp. Its description in RNAcentral is "bacterial SSU rRNA". It matches the Rfam family "Bacterial small subunit ribosomal RNA", at positions 418 to 1003 of the family's 1533-position model. The record is from RNAcentral. Lineage: Bacteria; Pseudomonadati; Pseudomonadota; Betaproteobacteria; Burkholderiales; Burkholderiaceae.
UCGGGUUGUAAAGCACUUUUGUCCGGAAAGAAAACUUCUGCAUUAAUACUGCGGGAGGAUGACGGUACCGGAAGAAUAAGCACCGGCUAACUACGUGCCAGCAGCGCGGUAAUCGUAGGGUGCGAGCGUUAAUCGGAAUUACUGGGCGUAAAGCGUGCGCAGGCGGUUCGUUAAGACAGAUGUGAAAUCCCCGGGCUUAACCUGGGAACUGCAUUUGUGACUGGCGAGCUAGAGUAUGGCAGAGGGGGGUAGAAUUCCACGUGUAGCAGUGAAAUGCGUAGAGAUGUGGAGGAAUACCGAUGGCGAAGGCAGCCCCCUGGGCCAAUACUGACGCUCAUGCACGAAAGCGUGGGGAGCAAACAGGAUUAGAUACCCUGGUAGUCCACGCCCUAAACGAUGUCAACUAGUUGUUGGGGAUUCAUUUCCUUAGUAACGUAGCUAACGCGUGAAGUUGACCGCCUGGGGAGUAUGGUCGCAAGAUUAAAACUCAAAGGAAUUGACGGGGACCCGCACAAGCGGUGGAUGAUGUGGAUUAAUUCGAUGCAACGCGAAAAACCUUACCUACCCCUGACAUGGUCGGAACCCUGCUG